Molecule: transfer RNA, 73 nt
Filed under: Haloactinopolyspora alba
Lineage: Bacteria; Bacillati; Actinomycetota; Actinomycetes; Jiangellales; Jiangellaceae
Description: Nocardioidaceae bacterium YIM 93246 tRNA
Rfam family: tRNA
About the family: Transfer RNA (tRNA) molecules are approximately 80 nucleotides in length. Their secondary structure includes four short double-helical elements and three loops (D, anti-codon, and T loops).
Source: Rfam by way of RNAcentral
UCUCCGGUAGCUCAAUUGGCAGAGCACCCGGCUGUUACCCGGAUGGUUUCAGGUUCAAGUCCUGACUGGAGAG